This 2757-nucleotide unclassified non-coding RNA is filed under the name Hevea brasiliensis (rubber tree). The record is from RNAcentral. Lineage: Eukaryota; Viridiplantae; Streptophyta; Magnoliopsida; Malpighiales; Euphorbiaceae.
CUUGCAGCAAGCCAUGUUGGGGACUCAGAUUAACCAUUUGGUUAAAGAUGGAAACUUGCGCCCUGGUUCUAUUGUCCAGUUGAUUCAGUACACUUGCACCACUGUUCAAGGCCGCAUGAUUAUAAUCAUCCUGGAAUUGGUUGUGAUAGUUGAAGAAUGUGCUCUCAUAGGACAUCCUGUGUCAGCACAAAAAUCUUUGGGCCCUUCACAAUCCUCUGCUGAUCAACCAGUUAAAAACCCUGCAAAUCCUCAAUCAUUUGGUAGUAGUUCACUUGUGGGUGGGGUGGUUGAAAACCCAAAUUUGGCUGGGGCAUCUCUACCAAGCCCUAGAAUGAAUCAGUUGCAUGGUAGUUCUCAUUCCAUCAAUUUUGACUUAGGAAGACAUGGGGCACCAAAUGUACCUCCGUCUCAUCCGAAAGCAGAACCUGGUGCUGGGCUCCCUGGAUCAGCUCCAAUUAAUGGUUUAUGCAGUGAUCAGCACGCAGGUUUUCGCAACCCUAGACCAGAAAUUUCGCAGACUCCUAGCACUUAUUCCUAUGCCUCUCGCUCAGCAUAUCAACAGCCACCUCCAAUGUACUCUAAUAGAGGACCAGUGGCUAAGAAUGAAGCUCCCCCUAGGAUAAUGCCAAUUUCAGCACUCAAUCCAUAUCAGGGUAGGUGGACAAUUAAGGCAAGGGUGACAGCAAAAGGAGAGCUUAGGCACUAUAAUAAUCCCCGUGGUGAUGGAAAAGUGUUCUCUUUUGAUCUUCUUGAUUCUGAUGGAGGAGAAAUUAGAGUAACCUGCUUUAAUGCUGUGGCUGACCAAUUUUAUCACCAGAUUGAAGCUGGGAAAGUUUAUUUAAUUUCCAGGGGAAAUCUAAAACCUGCUCAAAAGAAUUUCAACCACCNNNNNNNUUUCUGGAGAGCACUUCAAUCGUUCAACCGUGUUUUGAGGAUGACAGUGCAAUUCCAAGGCAGCAAUUUCAUUUCCGUUCUAUAAGUGAAAUUGAGGGCAUGGAUAAUAACAGUGUUGUGGAUAUAAUUGGUAUGGUUUCUUCUAUUACUCCUUCAUCUUCAAUAAUGAGGAAAAAUGGUACAGAAACUCAGAAGAGAGCCCUCCAGCUGAAAGAUAUGUCAGGCCGAAGUGUUGAAUUAACAUUAUGGGGAAAUUUCUGCAAUGCAGAAGGACAAAGGCUGCAGAAUAUGUGUGACUCAGGUGGUUUCCCUGUUCUAGCUGUUAAAUCUGGUAGGGUGAGCGAUUUUAAUGGGAAGGCAGUUGGAACUAUCUCUACCAGUCAGCUAUUUAUAGAUCCUGAUUUUCCAGAGGCUUGCAGGCUGAAGGAAUGGUUUGAAAAGGAAGGGAGAAACAUGCCUUCCCUGUCUAUUUCAAGGGAAAUGUCAGGUGUGGGUAGGAUAGAUGUUCCAAAAACCAUUUCUCAAAUUAAGGAUGAGAGGCUAAAAAAAAAAAAAAAAAAAAAAAAACAGAUUGGAUUACUGUCAGUGCAACUGUGAUAUUCAUUAAGGCUGACAAUUUCUGCUAUACAGCUUGCCCCCUCAUGUCUGGUGACCGACCAUGCAACAAGAAGGUAACAAAUAAUGGAGAUGGGAAGUGGAGGUGUGAGAAGUGCGAUCAGUCUAUGGAUGAAUGUGACUACAGGUACAUACUCCAGUUUCAAAUACAGGAUCAUUCUGGCAUUACAUGGGUGACGGCAUUUCAAGAGAGUGGUGAAGAGAUAAUGGGUAUAUCUGCAAAACAACUGUACUUCUUGAAAUAUGAAGAACAAGAUGAUGAGACUUUUUCUAAAAUUAUUCGGCAAGUUCUAUUUAGUAAAUUUGUAUUCAAGUUGAAAGUGAAGGAGGAGACAUUCAGUGAUGAACAGCGUGUAAAGUCCUCUGUGGUAAGAGCAGAAAAGGUGAAUCACUCAUCCCAGUCCAAAUUUCUUCUGGAGAUGAUGGAAAAGUUCAAAUCAGGAAACUCUGCUCCUUUUGCCUCUAAAACUGAGUCAAGUUAUCCUAUCUCGGGAGCAAGCAACACUGGUAUUGAAAGUAGUGGUAGACAAGGUGGACCACUGGGAUCUAAUCAAGGUGGGAACAACAGUUAUACUGCUAGAGAUUUUGGUUCACUGCCUAAUGAAGUUGGUCAUUACGGAAACCAGUAUAGUUCAAGGUUUCCUACAGCUAAUUCUUCUUGUAACAGCUGUGGUGCUACCAGUCAUACCUCAUCAAAUUGCCCUAGCAUCAUGAAUGCUCCCAGGCAGCCUAUGAGAGGGGCCUAUGCCAAUAAUGCAUCUUCUAUGGCCAAUGGUGGUGGUCGUGGUGCUGUAGGUGAAUGCUAUAAAUGCCAUCAAACUGGGCAUUGGGCAAGGGACUGCCCUGGGUCAAGUGCUGUUCCUCCAGCUUAUGGUAGCACUGCCAUUUCCUCUGGAAGGUUUGGGGGUAUUUCAAAGCCACAGUUUAGUGGUUUCUAAAGUCCCUGGAAAGAGAAGGCAGAAGUAUGUAAAAUAAGGUGCCUGCUUUGUGAGAUAUAAUGGAUAGUGCUUCUAGUUUUGAAUUUGGCGUUUGGGUGAGGGAUUGUGAUCUUUCUGUGUACAGAAUUUUGGGGCCAUAAAUAGCAUCUUUUAUAGUUUAAUACCGUGCAAAGAAUGCUAUGGGUCAAAGCUACUCUGUCUCGAAGUAGAUCUUUUAUUUUUUUAUUUUAUUUUUUUGGUUCCUUCCCCAACAUUCCUUAUCCUUUUCAAAUAUUUCCUUUAUUAUGUUGUGCAUUCGGAUUGCAGACUG